Non-coding RNA from Staphylococcus simiae, 381 nucleotides. The record is from Rfam. Lineage: Bacteria; Bacillati; Bacillota; Bacilli; Caryophanales; Staphylococcaceae.
UAUUUUGGGUAAUCGCUAUAUGAUAUAGAGGAAAGUCCAUGCUCACACAGUCUGAGAUGAUUGUAGUGUUCGUGCUUGAUGAAACAAUAAAUCAAGGCAUUAAAUUGACGGCAAUGAAAUAACCUAAGUCUUUAAGAUAUGGUUAAAGUAGUUUGAAAGUGCCACAGUGACGUAGCUUUUGUAGAAAUAUAAAAGGUGGAACGCGGUAAACCCCUCGAGUGAGCAAUCCAAAUUUGGUAGGAGCACUUGUUUAACGGAAUUCAACGUAUAAACGAGACACAUUUCAGUUAUUGAAAUGGUGUAGACAGAUGGUUAUCACCUGAGUACCAGUGUGACUAGUGCACGUGAUGAGUACGAUGGAACAGAACAUGGCUUAUAGAA